GGGAGGAGUCCACACUAGAAGGCCCAGUCCAGAGGCCAGCAGACAGCUUCUCUUGCAGUUCUAUUUUCCUGGGAAGACCAGCUCUUAGCAAGGACAGACACCAUCCAGAUGGGUCACUGGGAGUCCACAAGCCCCGCCCACCAGGAUUCAAACCACAGGCCACACCCAGGCCUGGCUGGGAAUGGGCAUCUUUCAUGUUAAGAAAUAUGAACCUCCAGGAUUCCAUAUAGGUCUGGGAGUGUCCUCACAGAGAACCCUUUGUGCCUGGGAGAGGGGUGGCCUGUUGAUUCUGGCAGGUGUCCAGGCAUUGCUUACCUCCAGCCACCCUGCCCUGGGGCUCCCCACCUUCCCCCUUCUGUUGGCACCUCCCUUCCUCCCAGGGCACAGCCACUCUACGGAGGGCAGGAACUCAGGAGGAGGCCUAGCUCUGAUGGAACCAGGACCCUGAGAGCCUCAGGGAGGCUGAGAUGACUCCAAGGAGAGCGGGGCUCAGGGGACAGUCACAGGAUGAGGGGGCUUGGAGUCGAGAAGAGGACACGGAUGGGCCAGGCCAGGGCUGGGAUGGAGUUGCAACACCUUCCGGUCUUAGUGAUGAACUGAAUACAAAGAGAGACAGCCAAACAGGAGCUGAUUACCAAGUAUGGAUACAAUGUAACCAACUUAUCCCCCAACUGUGGAUACAAUGUACCAGCCGUGUCUGGAACACAGAUACAAUGUAACCAGCUGUGAAUAUGGAUACAAUGUACCAGCCGUGUCUGGAGUACAG
Molecule: long non-coding RNA, 766 nt
Filed under: Cricetulus griseus (Chinese hamster)
Lineage: Eukaryota; Metazoa; Chordata; Mammalia; Rodentia; Cricetidae
Description: lncRNA (ENSCGRG00015042767.1)
Source: RNAcentral